CGUUAAGGGCGCGUUAAUGAUUCCAAAGUAUGAAUGGCAUCAUCCAGUUUGUCUGGAUGUCGAGUGGCUCCUGCCCACUCUGUUUGACGCCUCCCUGUUGACCUUCGAGCCGCCCUUGGCGGCUCUUUUUUU
Molecule: small RNA, 132 nt
Filed under: uncultured Allobosea sp.
Lineage: Bacteria; Pseudomonadati; Pseudomonadota; Alphaproteobacteria; Hyphomicrobiales; Alloboseaceae
Description: Alphaproteobacterial sRNA BjrC1505
Rfam family: Alphaproteobacterial sRNA BjrC1505
Source: RNAcentral